Molecule: long non-coding RNA, 443 nt
Organism: Frankliniella occidentalis (western flower thrips)
Lineage: Eukaryota; Metazoa; Arthropoda; Insecta; Thysanoptera; Thripidae
Exons: 2
Source: RefSeq, a predicted model, not a curated record
CGCCCUGCUACGCCUCCAGGACACGCCGGUAUAAAAGCUCCCGCCGGCCGGCAACCAGCAUCAGUCCUCCAGACCGAGCACCAGCAGCCACCAUGUUCAAGUCCCUGCUCCUCGUCUUCGCCGUCCUGGCUGUGGCCUCGGCCCAGUACAUCGCCUCCCCUUACAGCACCUACAGUGCCGGCGCCUACCCCGCCUACUCUGGUGUCAGCGCCUACUCUGCCUACCCUGCUUACUCCGGAGUCAGCUCCUACGGUGCCUACCCCUACGCCUACUCUGGCCUCGGCUACGGUUCUUCUUACCUCUACCGUUAAUUUAUCAUGUCCCGGCAGAGGAUGUCCGUCUGACCCAAGGCUACUCCACCUGGACACGGUCGCUGGGCAACAAAGACUUUCGGCACCAUUUAUGUCGCAAAAUUUUAAAUAAAUAGUUUGCAAUGUUAAAAA